Long non-coding RNA from Etheostoma cragini (Arkansas darter), 159 nucleotides. RefSeq lists it as uncharacterized. The transcript is spliced from 3 exons. NCBI's taxonomy places the organism in Eukaryota, Metazoa, Chordata, Actinopteri, Perciformes, Percidae. The record is from RefSeq and is a predicted model, not a curated record.
GAGCAGCAUCAUUGAGGCAACAUGGGGUGGGGGGGACACUGAUAUCAACUGAUCGACCCCCAGAAGAGCAUGAGAUGUGCUGCUCUAUUUCUCAUAUCUUACUCCUCAUUGUGCCUGUACUCUUGGAGCCCUUUUGUUUUUGUGAUUAUGCUUUUUUUU